Molecule: ribosomal RNA, 468 nt
Filed under: uncultured bacterium
Lineage: Bacteria
Description: partial 16S ribosomal RNA
Rfam family: Bacterial small subunit ribosomal RNA
Source: RNAcentral
GACGAACGCUGGCGGCGGGCUUAACACAUGCAAGUCGAACGGAAAGGCCCUGCUUUUGUGGGGUGCUCGAGUGGCGAACGGGUGAGUAACACGUGAGUAACCUGCCCUUGACUUUGGGAUAACUUCAGGAAACUGGUGCUAAUACCGGAUAGGAGCUCCUGCUGCAUGGUGGGGGUUGGAAAGUUUCGGCGGUUGGGGAUGGACUCGCGGCUUAUCAGCUUGUUGGUGGGGUAGUGGCUUACCAAGGCUUUGACGGGUAGCCGGCCUGAGAGGGUGACCGGCCACAUUGGGACUGAGAUACGGACCAGACUCCUACGGGAGGCAGCAGUGGGGAAUAUUGCACAAUGGGCGGAAGCCUGAUGCAGCAACGCCGCGUGCGGGAUGACGGCCUUCGGGUUGUAAACCGCUUUCGCCUGUGACGAAGCGUGAGUGACGGUAAUGGGUAAAGAAGCACCGGCUAACUACGUG